This 267-nucleotide ribosomal RNA is filed under the name uncultured bacterium. RNAcentral describes it as "partial 16S ribosomal RNA". It matches the Rfam family "Bacterial small subunit ribosomal RNA", at positions 793 to 1055 of the family's 1533-position model. The record is from RNAcentral.
GUCCACGCCGUAAACGAUGGAUGCUAGAUGUUUCCGGUAUUGACCCCGGAGGUGUCGUAGCUAACGCGUUAAGCAUCCCGCCUGUGGAGUACGGCCGCAAGGCUAAAACUCAAAGGAAUUGACGGGGGCCCGCACAAGCGGUGGAGCAUGUGGUUCAAUUCGACGCAACGCGAAGAACCUUACCUGGGUUGGAACCCUCCAGAAGUCCGCAGAGAUGUGGAUGUGCUCGCAAGAGAACUGGAUGUCCAGGUGCUGCAUGGCUGUCGU